This 196-nucleotide ribosomal RNA is filed under the name uncultured bacterium. Its description in RNAcentral is "partial 16S ribosomal RNA". It matches the Rfam family "Bacterial small subunit ribosomal RNA", at positions 329 to 539 of the family's 1533-position model. The record is from RNAcentral.
ACGCCGACACCUACGGGAGCAGCAGUGGGGAAUAUUGCACAAUGGGGGAAACCCUGAUGCAGCGACGCCGCGUGGAGGAAGAAGGUCUUCGGAUUGUAAACUCCUGUUGUUGGGGAAAAAGAGGAUGGUACCCAACAAGGAAGUGACGGCUAACUACGUGUCAGCAGCCGCGGUAAUCUGAGCGGGCUGGCAAGGC